Molecule: small nuclear RNA, 115 nt
Organism: Apus apus (common swift)
Lineage: Eukaryota; Metazoa; Chordata; Aves; Apodiformes; Apodidae
Product: U5 spliceosomal RNA
Exons: 1
Source: RefSeq, a predicted model, not a curated record
UUACCCUGGUUUCUCUUCAGAUCGUGUGAAUCUUUCGCCUUUUACUAAGGAUUUCCGUGGAGAGAAACAGGGACGAGUAUAGAUCAAUUUUUUAAGGCUCUACUUAGCAGGAGCU